RNAcentral lists this ribosomal RNA (449 nucleotides) under uncultured marine bacterium. RNAcentral's name for it is "bacterial SSU rRNA". It matches the Rfam family "Bacterial small subunit ribosomal RNA", at positions 360 to 804 of the family's 1533-position model. The record is from RNAcentral.
AAUCUUCGGCAAUGGGCGAAAGCCUGACCGAGCGAUGCCGCGUGUAGGAUGAAGGCCCUCGGGUUGUAAACUACUGUCAGUUGGGAGGAAAUCCCUUGGGGCUAUCCCCUUGGGUUGACCUAUCUUCAGAGGAAGGACGGGCUAAGUUCGUGCCAGCAGCCGCGGUAAUACGAACCGUCCAAACGUUAUUCGGAAUUAUUGGGCUUAAAGGGUACGUAGGCGGCCAUGUAGGUGGGGUGUGAAAUCCCCCGGCUCAACCGGGGAACUGCGCCCCAAACCACAUGGCUUGAGGGAGACAGAGGUAAGCGGAACUGAUGGUGGAGCGGUGAAAUGCGUUGAUAUCAUCAGGAACACCAGUGGCGAAAGCGGCUUACUGGGUCUCUUCUGACGCUGAGGUACGAAAGCUAGGGUAGCGAACGGGAUUAGAUACCCCGGUAGUCCUAGCUGUA